This 91-nucleotide small nucleolar RNA is filed under the name Trametes pubescens. The record is from RNAcentral. Lineage: Eukaryota; Fungi; Basidiomycota; Agaricomycetes; Polyporales; Polyporaceae.
CUAUCGUGAUGAAUCCUUAUAAUCAGUUCUGCUUCCGAAGGAGGGAAACCUCUUGUGGACAUCCUGAUACCAAAAACUCUCAUUCUGACAC